CACCGAAGCACAACACGUUCCGGGCCUGAGCCGAGCGCGUCCUCGUGCACGCACGUCCACACAAUAGCGGACACGCCAGUGGUGGUCUAACGCGCGGCACCGCUAAUGCACGCGACCUCGGAAGCGUAUCGUAUGAGCCUGAAAUCUCUCGCAGUUAAGGAGACGUCAUACAGACAGCGCAAAAGGAGGAUGUAAAGGUCCAACGAGUGAAAGAACAUCAACAUCUGACAUCACUUCCAGGUUCUUGUCAUUGGAGCGCACCACUUCUGCCUCUGCCACCUCAUAACCAGCUCAGUCUUAUCUUGAACUCUGAUCUGAAAAGACAGCCUCUUGAUGAUUUGUAAUACUUUUAUUUUUCUGCCAACAAUUUUACAGGGAUCACCUAUUGGUGCCCCUACACUUUAUGCUCUUGUUUUUAUUUCAAUACAGUGGAGGGAGCAUAAUGAUUUGGGCUGCUUUGUUUACUUAGAGGCCUGGACAGCUAGCCAUCAUUAAGGGGGAAAUGAAUUUCUAAGCUUAUCAAGGAAUCUGACAGGAUAAUGUGUGAUGUAGCAUGACAAUAACUCUAAACAUUGAAGAAAAUCUACUACAGGGCCUAGACUUUAACCCAAAAGAGAUUUUGUGGAAUGACAAGUGAUCCAUUCUUGCCAGACAUCCUAGGAAUAUGGGUGAGCUGAAGCAACUUUGUAAGGAAGAAUAGUCCAAACUUCCUUCUGAACAUUCUAGAAGUUUAAUCUGCAGCUACUAGAAGCACCUAAUAAAGGUAUUGCUGCCAAACAAGGUACAACUAAGUAUUAAAUCAGAGGGUUCACUUACGUUUUCCACAGUACACUGUAAAUGUUCGAUGGGUAUCUUUAAUACAGACAUGAAACAUUA
Polypterus senegalus (gray bichir) is the source of this 876-nucleotide long non-coding RNA. RefSeq lists it as uncharacterized. The transcript has 2 exons. The record is from RefSeq and is a predicted model, not a curated record. NCBI's taxonomy places the organism in Eukaryota, Metazoa, Chordata, Cladistia, Polypteriformes, Polypteridae.